UAGGGAAUCUUCCGCAAUGGGCGAAAGCUUGACGGAGCAACGCCGCGUGAGUGAUGAAGGUCUUCGGAUCGUAAAACUCUGUUAUUAGGGAAGAACAAAUGUGUAAGUAACUAUGCACGUCUUGACGGUACCUAAUCAGAAAGCCACGGCUAACUACGUGCCAGCAGCCGCGGUAAUACGUAGGUGGCAAGCGUUAUCCGGAAUUAUUGGGCGUAAAGCGCGCGUAGGCGGUUUUUUAAGUCUGAUGUGAAAGCCCACGGCUCAACCGUGGAGGGUCAUUUGAAACUGGAAAACUUGAGUGCAGAAGAGGAAAGUGGAAUUCCAUGUGUAGCGGUGAAAUGCGCAGAGAUAUGGAGGAGCACCAGUGGCGAAGGCGACUUUCUGGUCUGUAACUGACGCUGAUGUGCGAAAGCGUGGGGAUCAAACAGG
Molecule: ribosomal RNA, 429 nt
Filed under: Actinomycetes bacterium
Lineage: Bacteria; Bacillati; Actinomycetota; Actinomycetes
Description: Actinobacteria bacterium partial 16S ribosomal RNA
Rfam family: Bacterial small subunit ribosomal RNA
Source: RNAcentral